UUCGCAAUGCCCGAAAGGGUGAACGAGCGACGCCGCGUGCGGGAUGAAGGGUUUCGGCUUGUAAACCGCUUUUCUUUGGGAAGAAGGUCUGUCUCGUGCAGAUGGGCUCGACGGUACCAGAGGAAUAAGCCUCGGCUAACUCCGUGCCAGCAGCCGCGGUAAGACGGAGGAGGCAAGCGUUGUUCGGAAUUACUGGGCUUAAAGCGCGUGUAGGCGGAUGGGAACGUCAGAUACUGAAAGCCUCCGGCUCAACCGGGGAAGUGGUUCCGAAACGACCUAUCUGGAGGGACGUAGGGGGAUCUGGAACUUCCGGUGGAGCGGUGAAAUGCGUUGAGAUCGGAAGGAACGCCCGUGGCGAAAGCGAGGUCCUGGACGUCUGCUGACGCUGAGACGCGAAAGCUAGGGGAGCAAACGGGAUUAGAUACCCCGGUAGUCCUAGCCGUAAACGAUGGGCACUAAUAGAGGGGUUUU
RNAcentral lists this ribosomal RNA (471 nucleotides) under uncultured anaerobic ammonium-oxidizing bacterium. Its description in RNAcentral is "bacterial SSU rRNA". It matches the Rfam family "Bacterial small subunit ribosomal RNA", at positions 364 to 831 of the family's 1533-position model. The record is from RNAcentral.